This is a long non-coding RNA of Heterocephalus glaber (naked mole-rat), 830 nucleotides long. The record is from Ensembl. NCBI's taxonomy places the organism in Eukaryota, Metazoa, Chordata, Mammalia, Rodentia, Bathyergidae.
CGUGAGGGUGGGGCAGGGGAGAUCUGAGGAGUGUGCUCACUGCCCCUCCCUCAUCCACCGGCACACCAGACCCCUCUGUCCGACUGUGCUCUUCCAUUUCUCAACUGACUGCCCUGUGGGACAUGUAAAUGUGGUGUUUUCCUAAAAGGGUCUUGUCCUGAACAAAAGCUGACAAGAUCUGCUCUACCCUGCAAAUGUCCAAAGUCAGCUGUCACAUUCUGUUCAGGCUGUUGUCAGAUUUAAAUAAUCCCCAAAUCCCACACAUCACCCCCUUUCUAUACCUCUCUUCAAAAGUCUUUAUCAUCCUGACAGCUGUCCUCUGAACUGUCUCCUAAUGUCUCACAACUUUCUAGAGCUAUAAGGCUGUUUAUGUGACAUCCACAGCUAGCACUCUCACUUGGUCUCCUUGUGGAUCAGAGCCUCCUAGCCAGGCAACCUCAGCCCAAUUUUUAUUUCACAACUUUUUACUGGUGGAAAUGAGGAGAAACAGACAUCAGCAAGUCUAGGCUCUGCCCUUAAGGAGCUCCUGCUGAGGAGGCUAUAGAGACAAGUUUUACACAGUUCAAGAACCACACAUGUGCAGAGGAGCGGUCCAUCAUGUUUACUAACUGCCAAACAAUCUGAAAUAGAUGGGAGGAAUACAUCUCACACAUUUACAUCUGGCUAACUACUAAUGCGGGACACUUCAUGCAGCUAUUUCGAGAUGGGGGAGGUGGCUUCUGGCUCACUGAGCUCUCAUCGCCCCAUGAAACCCUCCCAGGUGAUGGGCAUCACCAUGCAAGUCUAGUCCUGAAUUUCUCACUGCACUUACUCAUAUUGAUGGGGAAAAG